RNAcentral lists this ribosomal RNA (770 nucleotides) under uncultured eukaryote. RNAcentral describes it as "SSU rRNA". It matches the Rfam family "Eukaryotic small subunit ribosomal RNA", at positions 368 to 1160 of the family's 1831-position model. The record is from RNAcentral.
GCCCUUGGGUUCGAUUCCGGAGAGGGAGCCUGAGAAACGGCUACCACAUCUAAGGAAGGCAGCAGGCGCGUAAAUUACCCAAUCCUGAUUCAGGGAGGUAGUGACAAGAAAUAUAAACCCGGGGAAUUCUAUUCUUACGGGAUUUAAAUGAGAACAAUUUAAAUCACUUAGCGAGGAACAAUUGGAGGGCAAGUCUGGUGCCAGCAGCCGCGGUAAUUCCAGCUCCAAUAGCGUAUAUUAAAGUUGUUGCAGUUAAAAAGCUCGUAGUUGAAUUUCUGGUCAGUUGUAGUCUUGGCUUCGGUCGGGCUAUGGCUGGUCAUCCGUUUGCAAGCUGCUCUCGGCCUUCACUGGUUCGGAGUAGUGAGCUGACAAUUUACUUUGAAAAAAUUAGAGUGUUUCAGGCAGGCUUUUGCCCGAAUACAUUAGCAUGGAAUAAUGGAAUUGGACUUAGGUUCAUUUGGUUGGUUAUUGGAUCUGAGUAAUGGUUAAUAGGGACAGUUGGGGGCAUUAGUAUUUAAUUGUCAGAGGUGAAAUUCUUGGAUUUUUUAAAGACUAACUUAUGCGAAAGCAUUUGCCAAGGAUGUUUUCAUUAAUCAAGAACGAAAGUUAGGGGAUAAAAGAUGAUCAGAUACCAUUGUAUUCUUAACUAUAAACUAUACCGACUCGGAAUUGGUAGGGUAUCUUAGCUCUAUCAGCACCGUAGAGAAAUCAAAGUCUUUGGGUUCUGGGGGGAGUAUAGUCGCAAGGCUGAACUUAAAGGAAUUGACGGA